GGGUGAGUGUCAGCCAUCCAGACUGAGGUCACUUGCUGAAGUUCAGAUUGAAGGUCGAUGACUGGAGUCGAUAGCUGAGGAGGUGAUUGGAUGAGUGUGGGGAGCACAGGCACCCACAGAGAGGGGGCAUCCCAAAAUAUUUUGAUAUAGUCACUGGCGUGACAUAUGAUUAGAAGUAAAGAUCGAUCAAAGAUCCUUGGAGAAGAAGCUUGAACCGUGGUAUCCCUUGGAUCGAUAUCUGAAGUUCAAGAGCCAUCUUUGAAAAU
Molecule: long non-coding RNA, 266 nt
Filed under: Elaeis guineensis (African oil palm)
Lineage: Eukaryota; Viridiplantae; Streptophyta; Magnoliopsida; Arecales; Arecaceae
Description: long non-coding RNA (EGUI_LNC027962)
Source: RNAcentral